Molecule: ribosomal RNA, 440 nt
Filed under: uncultured bacterium
Lineage: Bacteria
Description: partial 16S ribosomal RNA
Rfam family: Bacterial small subunit ribosomal RNA
Source: RNAcentral
CCUACGGGUGGCAGCAGUGGGGAAUAUUGCACAAUGGGGGAAACCCUGAUGCAGCAACGCCGCGUGAAGGAAGACGGUUUUCGGAUUGUAAACUUCUGUUCUUAGUGAAGAAUAAUGACGGUAGCUAAGGAGCAAGCCACGGCUAACUACGUGCCAGCAGCCGCGGUAAUACGUAGGUGGCAAGCGUUGUCCGGAAUUACUGGGUGUAAAGGGAGCGCAGGCGGGAAGCCAAGUCAGCGGUAAAAUGUCCGGGCUCAACCCGGGCCGGCCGUUGAAACUGGGGAUCUUGAGUGGGCGAGAAGUAUGCGGAAUGCGUGGUGUAGCGGUGAAAUGCAUAGAUAUCACGCAGAACUCCGAUUGCGAAGGCAGCAUACCGGCGCCCGACUGACGCUGAGGCACGAAAGCGUGGGGAUCGAACAGGAUUAGAUACCCGAGUAGUC